RNAcentral lists this long non-coding RNA (7672 nucleotides) under Brassica napus (rape). Its description in RNAcentral is "long non-coding RNA (BNAP_LNC006973)". The record is from RNAcentral. Lineage: Eukaryota; Viridiplantae; Streptophyta; Magnoliopsida; Brassicales; Brassicaceae.
ACUGUUAGACAGAAACCUAAAAGACCUUGUUUGAACAAGUGUCAAACCUUUAUUUUUCUUAAACAACCUCUGAAACAUCCACAUCACAACUUGGUUCCGGACUCUAGAGCUCCAUCGUCGACUUCUUCUUACCUGUUGCAAUACAAAACAAAAGCCUGAAAGUUAAAUCGGUAAACACUAAAGGAAAACAAAGACACAGACAACAUCAAUCCUCCACAAUCCACAUCACUUUGAUGUCGUAUUUAUUUAUAAGCUUCGCUUACAAGUCACUGAGAUAUGUCAAUUUCACCUCCUCGUUGAUUGGGUCUUAUCAUCAAGACAUCAACCUCGUUCUUCAUCAUAGGAUAUGACUCUCUCACUGUUUAUAAAAAAAAGUUUCUAGUGAUUCGAGAAAGCAAACAUGUGAAGCUUCCAUAAAAAGCAAGACGAGCUAGACAAAGAAGAAGAUGCUGAUCUUUCUAAAUCCAAUGGACAUCACUGAAGACAAGGUUCUUGUGUGUGUUUUCUCUGAGACUAAUUAAUCACAUAAAGUACGUGUGUUCUGUAUAUAUUAUAUGUUGCAAUUUCUUUUUCGAAAUUAAGAAAUCGUUUGUAAAACUAUUAAUCGGAAAUAGUAUUUUAUUUUUUUAAACUGAGAAUGUUUUUUUAUUCUUUUUGGAAUGCAAUCUGAAAUUGUAAUUUCCAUUUUUUUCUAAAAGAAUAGAAUUAUAACAAGACUAAUAAUAUUUGUUAUAAUUCUAACAAAUAUUACAAAAUCACUAAAUUUUGUUUGUGGCGUCCGAAAAUCACUAAUUAAAAACAGAAGCGGAAGCUUAAGCGAUGUGCUUUUAAUUGAAGACUGCUUUAGAGCGGAAGCUUAACCGAUGAAACGCAGCGUUUUGUGAUCGGUCGGAAAGCGGCUACCUUUGUUGCCUUACAGAAUCUGUUCUGUUUCUUUUACUCUCUCCUUGCAAACCCACGAUACAGACAGGCCUGGAGGAGACAGACAGAACAAAAGACAAGAGAAUUGUCCAUGGACGACAAGGACAGCGGCGAAGCUGACGUUUACGCGGCUGCGGAGACAGAAAGGGGCGAGAAAGUGGAACCCGAGAAGGAGCUGUGUCACGGUGACGAUGAUGGAUUGAGUCAACUCAGAGGCGAAGAAUCACUUGCGGAUAUGGAAGGCCUACCGGUGCGAGAAACCCUAGCUAAGGAUCACGUUGAAGGUAACGGGUUUAUCCCCCGGAUGAUUCAUUGUUGCUCAAAGAUUGGUUGUUGUUGUUGUGUUAUUCAAGAUUUUGUGUUUAAAGUCGUACAUGAAUACCGUACCGCUUUGAGAAUUCUCUUGGGAGUUGAGCCUUCACACACGUGAAGCGGCCUAUGUAACGUUAUCCUAUCUUGGAAACAAGCCAAAAAGAAACAUUAGGCAUAUGAACGUACACAUCACAUUAGCCCGAGUAUACAUUAUUUCGCAGCAAAUUCACAAUAAUAAACUACCAACCAACUAUAACUUAAAGAAGCACGAAAUAAGAAUUUGACCAAAACAAAAAUCAGAUUGAUUGAACUUUUUUCGAUGGUACAAAGAAAUCAAAAGUAAAAAGCUUGGAGCAACAUUGAUUAAAUAAUUAAACAGAAAAAAAGAAGAAGAAACAUUAUGCAGAUUUUGAAAACCUAAUUAAUCUGAGCUCUAAAACAUACUCAUCCUCAUCAAACUUGGUUUCCGAACUCGAAAACGUCUGGUGCCACCAAUGUAUCUCGAUUUCACCUUCUUGUUGGCUUCUCCAUCAACCACUUUCUUCAUCAUAGGAUGUAGCUCGACUAUUUCACCAUUUAUCAAAUCAGUUAUUGGUGGCAGUAGAUAACGAGCAUGCGAAGCUUCCACAAACAAGACGAGGGCAACAAAGAAGAAGAAGAUCUUUCCGAAUCUUAUGGACAUUGUUGGAGGCAAGGUUACUUAGGGCUCGUGUUUUGUUUUUGUGAGACAAUUGUGUUCUCUCUAUAGUAUAUAUAUAUAUAUAUAUAUAUGUUGCACAAUCCUUUUACUAAUAGGAAAUUGUUUUUUAAAACUAAUAAUUGGAAAUAAUAUUUGUAAUUUUUUAAUCAUAGAUUGCAAUUUCCUUUUUAUAUAUAUAGAUUGUAAGUUUUUAAUCUGGGAAAAGCAUAUCUUCAACUAUGAAAAAUAUAUGCCUUUUGGAAGAAAAUAUAUAGUUUAACACACCCAAUGCACAUAACCAUCAUGCAACAAGACUUGUGAUAUUUCGUAUAGUCAUAAAUUCAUAAUAUAUAUUCCCAACUUUCCUGCCACCCUUUUGAAAAUAUAUGCCUUUUGUUUCGUGGUGGUUUCAAGAUCUGACUUGUACAUGGUUUUGUUUAAAAAAAAAAAGUAUAAAUCAAGGUAAGAAGGUGCUUUGGUCUAGUGGUAUAGGAGCUCCAGCUGGAGUGCCCGCCCCUGGGUUCGAGUCUUGGCCACUGCGAAAUUUACAUAUGGGCUGCAGCAUCCGAGACCGAAGACCGUUACACGGUGAACCACAUGGUGACGCCCUGGCAGCGUCCAUGCUCACUUCGGUCUCUAGUCUAGACCACCUCGAUGGAGCCAGAAUACUCGGUUAGCAAAAAAAAAAAAAAAAAUCGAACAAUGUCCAAUUUUAUAUCGGAAACUGUUGACUUUAUAAAAUCCUCGGUUAGAAAAAAAAAAAAAAAAAAGGUGCUUUGGUGGCGAAGUGUUACUCUGCAAAACAUAAGCUUGUUUGGGAAGUGUUGGUACGAGGUCUUAAGAGUAAAAUCGAGAUCCAAUGGUCAGAUAUUGUGGGAUUGAAAGCAAACUGACUUGAAGGACCUGGGACGUUGACUCUACUGGUACAAGAUUCAUUCAUGAUCUUUUCAUUCGUGCGUCCUAAUGGUUUUGUUCAACUCUAAUCUUUGGUUUCUUUUCUGUUUCAGCUUUCUAGGCAGCCUUUGUUUUUUUGGGAAACAAACCCACAGCCUAGGAAACAUACUUUGUGGCAGGCAACUUCACUGGCAUGGAACUUCUUCUGUUUUUUUUUUUUUUUUUGACAAUACUAUGCAUUUUGUGAAACAAUCAGGUUAUUUUUCCAAUGUUUUGUGAACUUUUUUUGUUUUUUUUUUUUUUUUUGACAGCAAGACAUUCACAGACCAUGUUGACUCUGUAAACCAAAUCGGUAACUCCGCAUCCAUAUGAACGACGAAAGACGGUUGUUUCCUAGCAUUACGUGCCAAGCUAUCCGCCCUUUGGUUCUCCGUUCGGGGUACAUGGAUGAUGUCUGAGUUGAGGAAACUUCUUCGUAAAAGCUUGAUAUCUUCCAGGUAGCUUUCAAAUGCUGGCCAUUCUUCUGGUUCCGAAACCAUCUUCACCAAUUGAGAACAAUCCGUUGCAAACGUAACCUGAAACUGUCGUAAGUUCUUCAUACAUUCCAUUGCCCAAAUCAAAGCCUCCACCUCCGAGUGAAGAGGUGAUAGACACGCCCUUACAUUCCUUGCUCCGAGUAAACCAUCAAAAACCGGUAAGGUACUAUACCAUCCUUGUCCCGAAAAUAUCUCCUUCUCCUUCCACGAACCAUCUAUGAAACACCAUCGUCCUGUAGCUUCUAAUAUAGGUCUGGUUUGUACUUGUCGCUCCAUACUUUGAGUAGUGAUUACAUGUGCUUCAGCCCAAAGUGUCGAUUCCAGUUCUGCUAAUCGAAGUGUUUCCCUUGGAUCAAUAUCCAGAUUACUAAACACCUUAUUGUUCCUACCUUUCCAUAUAUACCAUAAUAUCCAUGCGAAUUGGUGAUCAUCCAUCUUUGUAGUAACUCUCCAAAAGAGAUGAUCCAUGUUACCAAAAAACGAACAAGUAGGAAAAUAGUUCUGAUUCGAUGGUAUCUUAGAUAAAGCCCACACUUGACGUGCUGGAGGGCAUUCAAAAAACACAUGAUUUAUUGAUUCCUCCGGGUCUCCACAUUGAGCACAACAAAUAUCUCCUUGUAUCCCUCUCCCCCGAAGAUUCUUCAUUACCGUUAUACAACCCGAAAGGAGUUGCCAUAGGAAAUGCUUUAACUUCGGCGGGCACCGCACUUCCCAACAGAAAGCUUUUAACGUAUCCACUGUGGGUCCAUAAAAAUCUGGUGGUUUUUCUUUAUCAGGAUAGACUCGUUCCACUUGAUACCCUGAUUUAACCGAAUAUUUUCCAUUAUUAGUGAAAUGCCAUCCAUUCCUAUCUUCCAUCUGGUGUCUACUUAAGGGAAUACUUUCAAUAAUCUUUGCAUCAUGAGGAUCCACCAAAGCCCUAAUUACCUCGAUAUUCCAAGUUCGGGAUUCCAAAUUAAUGAGGGAAUCCACUGUGAGAUCCGGGUAACUGUUGUGAAUAUUUUUGUUUGCUGGUCUCGGACGAGUGGUUGGGAUCCAAGGAUCAUUCCAUACCGAAAUAGAUGAACCUGUUCCCACCCUUUUAAUUAGUCCUUUGCAAACCAGAGAUCUAGCAGAAAUCAUACUUCUCCAGCCAUAUGACGGGGAGUAAGAUCGGAUCGGUUCAAGGGGUGAAGCAUUCCUAUAGUACCGUCCUUUAAAGACUCUCGAGAAAAGAGUGUUUGGCUUCUCAAUCAGCCUUCACAGUUGCUUUCCAAGCAUCGCCGUGUUAAAAUCCAUAAGAUCCUUAAAACCUAAACCACCAUUAUCUUUAGGGAGACAUAAUUUAUCCCAUGAUUUCCAAUGCAUUCCUUUUGUGCUUCCCCCUGGGCUCCACCAAAAUUUCGCUACAGCACUCGUUAAUUUUUUAACUGUAGCUUUUGGUAAUCUAUAAACAGACAUGACAUGAUUUGGCAGAGCCGUAACCACCGACUUAAUGAUCACCUCCUUCCCACAUUAUCUUCUGCUUGUUACUCAUUGUUUUAUGAUUCUUCUUUUUCAGCUGUUUAAGAUUGAUGUUUUGAAAGCUUGGAAGUCUGUGUUGGCAUCUGUGAUUUCCUACGCUUUGGGGCUCUUCAUGAUCGCAAAAGCGCCAUGGUAUCUGCUUCUGUUGGCUUGGGCUUGGACAGGAACUGCAGUUACAGGGGUUGAUCUUUCUUCUAGUUCUUUGUGAUAGGACAUGAUUGUGCUCAUGAAUCAUUUUCAAAGAACAAAUUGGUUGAAGACAUUGUGGGUACUCUAGCUUUCCUACCUCUUGUCGACCCCUAUGAGCCAUGGAGGUUUAAGCAUGACCGUCAUCACGCCAAAACCAACACGUAACUCUUACUUACUUAACACUGUUAUAUAUAUACAUGUUCACAAUUGGAUAAGAGAUGAGACGUCUUACUUUUGUUCUCUAUAGGUUAGUUCGUGACACAGCUUAACAACCAGUUCCACCAGAAGAGUUUUUGAUUCAUCACCAGUCCUGCGAAAAGCAAUCAUUCUUGGAUAUAGUCCAAUCCGACCUUGGCUGUCCAUAGCUCACUGGUAUAUAUAUACAUGAAGCUCUUUUACUCUUCUUUUCUCCGUAUACCUGUUUACUUAAUAGUAAAUGUUGUGAUAGGGUGAACUGGCAUUUCAAUCUGAGAAAGUUCAGACCAAGCGAAGUGAAUAGGGUGAAGAUUAGCUUGGCUUGUGUUUUCGCCUUCAUGGCCGUUGGGUGGCCACUGAUCAUAUACAAAUUUUGGCAUAUUAGGAUGGGUUGAGUUCUGGUUGAUGCCAUGGUUGGGCUAUCACUUUUGGGUAAAUGCUUCUCUCUGUUCUCUCUCUCCUUUUUCGUUUGAGAAAGCAUCAUAAGCCACAAUGGUUACACAUUUUUUGUUUCUCUAUAGAUGAGCACGUUCACGAUGGUUCAUCAUACGGCUCAAGCACAAUGCAGAAGAGUGUGACACCAUGCCUACAAAGAUAAUGCAACCAAACUAUAAUUAUGUUUAGAUAGUAUUGUAUAGAGGAAAUUAAAUAAAGAGCACCAAAAGGGUGUGAGACAAGUUCUAGAGAUAAGUUUCAGCAUGAAAUUUAACGAAAGAGUUACUCUUUAUACCUGAUCAGUUCUUUAGCCUAAACUAUGAGACCAUUUAAAGAUACUUUGUCACCUGAAAAACAAAGACACAGAAAACAUCAAUCCUCCACGUCACUUUACAGGAGCCGGAGAGCUUUCGCUGGAUGCCAAGAGUCUGUUUACCAAGCUUUCACCAACUAAAUUUUGCUUGAACGUGAUCAGGAUGCCUACCGGUAAAGCUUAUUGAGAAGAAAUGAAGAAUGCACUCCGAUCAACAGCUAAUGGCAAGCAAAGAUACUGAGAAAUUUUUGGUGAAACUAUCUUGUUUAGCGUUGUGAUGCGUCUUUGUAAUGGGCUAGUUUUGGGCAUUUGUUAUAUUUGAUAUAUAAAAAACUGUAACAAUCACAUAAUUGAUUCUCAUUUUCUGUUUGAGAGAAUUUGACAUUAAAGACAAAUGAGAGAAGUUGAAGUUGAAGUCUAUAGACUAAAAUAUUGCUUUUCAGUUGCUUAGUCAUGGUCAUCAGUGUUUUUCUCGCGUUUAGGUGUCAAAAUUCUUAGAUAUAAUUGGUUUUUGGGUAUAUUGACUAGACUAAAAUUCAACAUAUUUAAGUGAAAUUGUUCUCAUAGCAAACAUUUUUAGUAGUUUCUAAGUUAGUCAAUUCAUCAGCACAAUAAAUCAGUUUAUUUAUUUAGAUGUAAACGAAAUUAUUCUCAUAGCAAACAUUUUUAGUAGUUUCUAAGUUAGUCAAUUCAUCAGCACAAUAAAUCAGUUUAUUUAUUUAGAUGUAAACGAAAUUAUUCUCAUAGCAAACAUUUUUAGUAGUUUCUAAGUUAGUCAAUUCAUCAGCACAAUAAAUCAGUUUAUUUAUUUAGAUGUAAACGAAAUUAUUCUCAUAGCAAACAUUUUUAGUAGUUUCUAAGUUAGUCAAUUCAUCAUCACAAUAAAUCAGUUUGUUUAUUUAGAUGUUAAUGAAACAUUUGUAUAGCGUAGGUUAGACACAAAUAGAAGAUAGAUGUUGAAAAACAACAAAGAAAAUAAUAAAACUAAAUGUAAGUUUUAAGAAAUAAACUCACUCAUCUUGUGAAUGUAAUGGCUUUAGAGUACUGAACAAUGUUUCAUUUAUAUGCACCUUCAAAAUCAUGAUAUAUUCUUAUAAGACUAUUUGAUUAUAAAAAUGAGUCCCCAAAGCAUAAUAGCAUUGACUAUGUGUGUGAACUUCCUUUUUACCUCCAUUACGUUCUUUAACAUGCACCACUCCAAUAAGAUUUAAGUCAAAAAUAUUACGUUAUGGAUCUCAUGUGUUUAAUUUAGGUUUAAAUAUAUAUAUAUAUAUAUAUAUAUAUAUAUAUAUUUAACAAAAAUAACAUAAUUAAAAAGAGGAUUUAGAUAACAAUUACAAAACGAUCUAGGUUCAUAUUGUUAGACAAAAACCUAAAAGACAUUGUUUGAACAAGUGUCAAACCUUUAGUUUCCUUAAACAACCUGUAAAACAUCCGCAUCACAACUUGGUUUCCGACUCUAGAGCUCCAUCGUCGACUUCUUCUUACAUGUUGCAAUACAAAACAAAAGCCUGAAAGUUAAAUCGGUAAACACUAAGUCAUCAAGGUAUGUCAAUUUCACCUCCUCGUUGAUUGGGUCUUCAUCAUCAAGACAUCAACCUCUUUCUUCAUCAUAGGAUAUGACUCUCUCACUGUUUAUAAAAAAAAGUUUCUAGUGAUUCGAGAAAGCAAACAUGUGAAGCUUCCAUAAAAAGC